CCGAACUUGGCGCAGCUGGUAGCGUAGAGGACUGUAAAGGAUUCAGUUUAUCCUUUGGUCGCCAGUUCAAGUCUGGCAGUUCGGA
Molecule: transfer RNA, 85 nt
Filed under: Neolecta irregularis DAH-3
Lineage: Eukaryota; Fungi; Ascomycota; Neolectomycetes; Neolectales; Neolectaceae
Rfam family: tRNA
About the family: Transfer RNA (tRNA) molecules are approximately 80 nucleotides in length. Their secondary structure includes four short double-helical elements and three loops (D, anti-codon, and T loops).
Source: Rfam by way of RNAcentral